GACGUAGGGCGCGAGCGUUGUCCGGAUUUAUUGGGCGUAAAGAGCUCGUAGGCGGCUUGUCGCGUCGGAUGUGAAAGCCCGGGGCUUAACCCCGGGUCUGCAUUCGAUACGGGCAGGCUAGAGUUCGGUAGGGGAGACUGGAAUUCCUGGUGUAGCGGUGAAAUGCGCAGAUAUCAGGAGGAACACCGGUGGCGAAGGCGGGUCUCUGGGCCGAUACUGACGCUGAGGAGCGAAAGCGUGGGGAGCGAACAGG
RNAcentral lists this ribosomal RNA (253 nucleotides) under uncultured bacterium. Its description in RNAcentral is "partial 16S ribosomal RNA". It matches the Rfam family "Bacterial small subunit ribosomal RNA", at positions 524 to 776 of the family's 1533-position model. The record is from RNAcentral.